UGGGGAAUUUUGGACAAUGGGCGAAAGCCUGAUCCAGCAAUGCCGCGUGCAGGAAGAAGGCCUUCGGGUUGUAAACUGCUUUUGUACGGAACGAAAAGGCUCUUUCUAAUAAAGAGGGCCCAUGACGGUACCGUAAGAAUAAGCACCGGCUAACUACGUGCCAGCAGCCGCGGUAAUACGUAGGGUGCGAGCAUUAAUCGGAAUUACUGGGCGUAAAGCGUGCGCAGGCGGUUCUAUAAGACAGAUGUGAAAUCCCCGGGCUCAACCUGGGAAUGGCAUUUGUGACUGUAGAGCUAGAGUACGGUAGAGGGGGAUGGAAUUCCGCGUGUAGCAGUGAAAUGCGUAGAUAUGCGGAGGAACACCGAUGGCGAAGGCAAUCCCCUGGACCUGUACUGACGCUCAUGCACGAAAGCGUGGGGAGCAAACAGGAUUAGAUACCCGUGUAGUCCCUGAGCGGGCUGGCAAGGCGCAU
This 472-nucleotide ribosomal RNA is filed under the name uncultured bacterium. RNAcentral describes it as "bacterial SSU rRNA". It matches the Rfam family "Bacterial small subunit ribosomal RNA", at positions 355 to 825 of the family's 1533-position model. The record is from RNAcentral.